AGUGAACGCUGGCGGUAGGCCUAACACAUGCAAGUCGAACGGCAGCACAGUAAGAGCUUGCUCUUACGGGUGGCGAGUGGCGGACGGGUGAGGAAUACAUCGGAAUCUACUUUUUCGUGGGGGAUAACGUAGGGAAACUUACGCUAAUACCGCAUACGACCUACGGGUGAAAGCAGGGGAUCUUCGGACCUUGCGCGAUUGAAUGAGCCGAUGUCGGAUUAGCUAGUUGGCGGGGUAAAGGCCCACCAAGGCGACGAUCCGUAGCUGGUCUGAGAGGAUGAUUAGCCCAACCGGAACUGGGAAACGGUCCAGAAUCCUACGGGAGGCAGGAGUGGGGAAUAUUGGACAAUGGGCGCAAGCCUGAUCCAGGCAUACCGCGUGGGUGAAGAAGGCCUUCGGGUUUUAAAGCCCCUUUGUUGGGAAAGAAAAGCAGCAGGUUAAAAACCCGCUGUUUCGGAGGUAACCAAAGAAUAAGCAACGGCUAACUUCGUG
This 492-nucleotide ribosomal RNA is filed under the name uncultured bacterium. RNAcentral describes it as "partial 16S ribosomal RNA". It matches the Rfam family "Bacterial small subunit ribosomal RNA", at positions 29 to 507 of the family's 1533-position model. The record is from RNAcentral.